GAGGGGUGACCGGCCACAUUGGGACUGAGACACGGCCCAGACUCCUACGGGAGGCAGCAG
This 60-nucleotide ribosomal RNA is filed under the name uncultured bacterium. RNAcentral's name for it is "partial 16S ribosomal RNA". The record is from RNAcentral.